CCUACGGGUGGCAGCAGUCGAGAAUCAUUCACAAUGGGGGAAACCCUGAUGGUGCGACGCCGCGUGGGGGAAUGAAGGUCUUCGGAUUGUAAACCCCUGUCAUGUGGGAGCAAAUUAAAAAGAUAGUACCACAAGAGGAAGAGACGGCUAACGCUGUGCCAGCAGCCGCGGUAAUACAGAGGUCUCAAGCGUUGUUCGGAAGCACUGGGCGUAAAGCGUGCGUAGGCUGUUUUGUAAGUCGUGUGUGAAUGGCGAGGGCUCAACCCGCGGACGGCACAUGAUACUGCGAGACUAGAGUAAUGGAGGGGGAACCGGAAUUCUCGGUGUAGCAGUGAAAUGCGUAGAUAUCGAGAGGAACACUCGUGGCGAAGGCGGGUUCCUGGACAUUAACUGACGCUGAGGCACGAAGGCCAGGGGAGCGAAAGGGAUUAGAUACCCCAGUAGUC
RNAcentral lists this ribosomal RNA (446 nucleotides) under uncultured bacterium. RNAcentral describes it as "partial 16S ribosomal RNA". It matches the Rfam family "Bacterial small subunit ribosomal RNA", at positions 338 to 795 of the family's 1533-position model. The record is from RNAcentral.